CGAUUAGGGAUCGGUUGUUGUUCUUUAAUUGACGCCAUUGGGCNCCUUACGAGAAAUCAAAAGUCUUUGGGUUCUGGGGGAAGUAUGGUCGCAAGGUUGAAACUUUAAAGGAAUUGACGGAAGGGCACCACCAGGAGUGGAGCCUGCGGGCUUAAUUUGACUCAACACGGGGAAACUCACCAGGUCCAGACNCAAUAAGGAUUGACAGAUUGAGAGCUCUUUCUUGAUUUUGUGGGUGGUGGUGCAUGGCCGUUCUUAGUUGGUGGAGUGAUUUGUCUGCUUAAUUGCGAUAACGAACGAGACCUUAACCUACUAAAUAGUGCUGCUAGCAUUUGCUGGUAUAGUCACUUCUUAGAGGGACUAUCGAUUUCAAGUCGAUGGAAGUUUGAGGCAAUAACAGGUCUGUGAUGCCCUUAGACGUUCUGGGCCGCACGCGCGCUACACUGACGGAGCCAGCGAGUAUAAACCUUGGCCGAGAGGUCUGGGAAAUCUUGUGAAACUCCGUCGUGCUGGGGAUAGAGCAUUGUAAUUGUUGCUCUUCAACGAGGAAUUCCUAGUAAGCGCAAGUCAUCAGCUUGCGUUGAUUACGUCCCUGCCCUUUGUACACACCGCCCGUCGCUACUACCGAUUGAAUGGCUUAGUGAGGCUUCCGGAUUGGUUUAGGAAAGGGGGCAACUCCAUUCUGGNACCGAGAAGCUAGUCAAACUCGGUCAUUUAGANCAAGUAAAAGUCGAACAAGGU
This 741-nucleotide ribosomal RNA is filed under the name Candida tropicalis. RNAcentral's name for it is "SSU rRNA". It matches the Rfam family "Eukaryotic small subunit ribosomal RNA", at positions 1043 to 1800 of the family's 1831-position model. Lineage: Eukaryota; Fungi; Ascomycota; Pichiomycetes; Serinales; Debaryomycetaceae. The record is from RNAcentral.